CUGGUAUAAUUACUCUAUGUUUUCCUCUGCAUACACACUAAACCUUUUUAACAGCCACAUCAACAUUCGGAAGUUAGAUUUGAAUUUAUUGAAUGGAAAGAAAACCUUACAACGUUAUUUGUAAAAUAAGUGAUGGUGGGUUUGGAGAAAUCUAUAAAGUAAGUUCGCCAAGUACAAAUGAAAUCCUUGUUCUUAAAUAUUUGAAAUUCAAGGGGAAUUUAAAUGAGCAAACGUACAUGUAUAUUAAAAACGAAAUAGCUAGUUUAUCUUCUUUGAGACAUGAGAACAUUAUAUCUUUUCGAGAAGUUCUAGUGAAAAGUGAAGAAGUGAAUAUUAUAAUGGAAUAUGCGGACGGGGGAAAUCUUGAAGAUUUUAUUUCUGAACAUAAAACUUUAUGUAAUACAUUGGUUGUUGAUAUUUUCAUUCAAAUCUUAAAAGCAGUAGAUUUUUGUCAUCAUAAUUACAUUGCACAUAGAGACAUUACCCCUAGUAAUGUAUUGCUAUUAAGAAACAGAACAAUUAAAAUAUGAAAUUUUUAUGAAAUGUAUGUCCUCAGCCGGGAAACCGUUGUUGUGCGAUGAUUUUCUUUGAAAUAAACUAUUUUGUUCCCCGGAAGUUAUACGUGGGAUUGUUCACGAUGCCAUAUUAGCAGACUUAUGGAAUCUCGGUGUUCUCUUGUAUUACAUUAUAUUUACUAAAGGACCAUUCAGUGGAUACGACGAAGAAAUUCUAGUCCAGCAACUAACAAUAGGAAAUACUAUAACAACAUCACAUUGUAUUGACUUAUUUAAACGUACGUUACUUGAUUCCUUGAAAAUUAUUCCUUGUGAUAGAACAUGUGUUUCAAAGGUAUUACAUUCCUGGAACAAUGCAAUGAAUGAAUCUGUUUUAUAUUGAAUUUUUAUGUUGAAAAAUGUGCAUUAAGUGAGUUGAAUAAAUGGCAUAAUAUUAGAACUGUAUUCAUACUUUUGAUCAAAUAUAAAGUAUUGUAUGAAAUAACUAUUAAACAUUAUAUUCGUUGCAAGAUUUUAUCAUGAUAUUUCAUUAAUUGACUAAUAACAUGAUAUUUCAUUAAUUAACUAAUAUAUAUAUACAUAUAUAUAGUAGAGCAGGUUAGUAGAGCCCAGGUGGUCGUGUGGUCUAGCGGGACGGCUGCAAUGCAGGCGAUUUGGUGUCACGAUAUCAUAGUAGCAUGGGUUCGAAUCCCGGCGAGGGAAUAACAAAAUUUGCGAAAGCAAAUUUACAGAUCUAUCAUUGUUGGGUUGAUGUUUAGACGAGUUGUAUAUAUAUAUAUAUAUACAUCCAGGGUUAUUUUAUUGGUGAGUUAAUCGUUGAAGGAGGAAGCAUAUUAUGUAAGAAGCGCAAAAGCAAUGUUGUUCAUUAUGAUUACAGAAAUUCCUCACCUUUCAUUUUUGUUUUGGUAUAAAUAAAGGCAACAGUAGUAUACCGCUGUUCAAACUCAUAAAUCCAUGGACAAAAAAACAAAAUCGGGGUAACAAACUAAAACUGAGGGAAACGCAUAAUAUAAGAGGAGAACAACGACACAACACUACAAUGUAACUAACACACACAGAAAAGGACCAAGCAUCAGACAAAAUCCCACGAGAAUAACAAAUAUAACAUCAAAACCAAAUACAUGAAUUUGGGAUAGACAAGUACUGUGACACGUCUUAUCGCAAUGUCAAUUUACACUCAAAAAUAAGAGAGAAAACACACACAGAAACGAACUAUAAUAUAACAAUGGCCAUAUUCCUGACUUUGUACAGGACAUUUUUAAAGGAAAAAAUGGUGGGUUGAACCUGGUUUUGUGGCAUGCCAAACCUCGGACUUUAAUGGCAAUGUUAAAUAUAACAUAAUAAUUUGGAAUAACUCGUUAUAGUUGUUGUCUUAUCAAAAGUACGGAUUCGGAUGAAAAUAUAAGUAAUUUAAUCAUUUCUUUGUAUGUGUCGCCAAAUUUUUUUUAUUGGAAUUAAAAUUACGCAAGGAAAAUGAAAAAUCGCUAAAAUAUGUAAAAGCAAUGCAAAUUUUGACACAAUCUUGCCAGACAUUUAAGUUAUGCUCUCGAAUAACCAAAUCUGACGCUAAGAUAUCUGAGGUAUUUUUCUUUGAAUUAGAUCUUUAUGAACUUUAUUGUUACUUUCCGUAAAAAAAAACUUUAAAAAAUAAUAAAGUGUGCAAUCAUAUAGUUCAACGACAUGACGUGUAGUUAAUAUAUUGCCAGUAAAUGAAGAGGAACGAAAGAUACCAGAGGAACAGUCAAACUCCAGUAACAUGUUACAAGCAACGAAAUAAUACCAAAUGAUAGAGUAGACUCUCUCCGUGUGAUAUUGUAAUAACAAUUAUAUUAAUGGUUAGAUCAUGCUAUCUUGAACAUUUUAUACAAAAAAAGAAAAACUCUAAAAUACUAAACUUCGAGGAAAAUUUAAAACGGAAAUUUCCUCAUUAAAUGGCAAAAUUAAAAGCUCAAACACAUCAAAGAAAUGGAUCAUAACUGUUAUAUUCCUGAUUUGGUAUAGGCAUUUUCCUUGUAGAAAAUCAUGGUUUAAACCUGCUUUUAUAGCUAGCUAAAUAUCUCACCUGUAUGACUGUCGCUUUAAAUUCCAUUAUAUUGACAAUGAUGGGUGGACUAAACAAACAGACAUAAUAAGUAAAAAUGUCAAAAAAAAGGAUACAGCAGUCAACAUUGUGUUAAAAUCAAAAUCACUAAAUUAAAGAAAGGAAUGUGACAAAGCAUAUCAAAAAACUAAAUUAAGUUACAUGGAUUGAAAUAUUGUUCACCAGACGCACGUUUCGUCUACAAUAAGACAAAGUUAAAAAGCAAGAAUAUUGUUUCAUCUCUAAAUAUGGGAUGCAUUUUAUUGCAACCACAGGUUGGUCUGUAUUCACCAUGAACAUUGAUAUUGGUGAGUUAAUUAUGUGCCUUUCAUUAUGAUAACAAACACAAUCUUGCUUCUCCUAUCAACUUCAAAAACUGUUCUAUUAUUUUGGUAUAUGUGUAUAAUCUUUUAGGGCUUCAAAUAUCAAAACAAUGUAAUCCUUCAAUAUGUUACACCAAAGAAAAACAAAGAAAUCAUCUUAAAGAAUUCCAAAAGAGAGAAGUCUUUACUUCAUCUUUCAAAAGCGUUACCUAGGUUGUUUUGAAACUUAUGAAAUAUUCAUCUUAAAUUUUACAACACUGCCAAACAUACUACUAGUAAAUCAAAUUGUAAUGUUUUGGUUUUCGAUCUUUUUUCUACUGAUAUUGCACACUUUUCAGAUGUUCUUAUUUAAAUGUGUAUGCGUGUAUGACAGGCUUUAAUAUGAAUAUUUAAUUUUAUUUUUUGUAUCUUUGUCAUUUUUGAUUUUGUGUCAUUUUAGGAAUUUGGCAUGCACUAUGUCCAAUGCAUUAGAUCAAUUGGGCAGCCGGGCUAUAUCAGGAAAUAGAGUUUGCUAGUCGAGUGAUACCCUUUCCUGGGAACGCGACCGAAAACACAAUAAUUGAUGUAAGGAUGCAUAUAAGUUCAAUAUUUUACAGAACAGCUGUUUUAGUCAGACGUUAAAGAUUUCAAACGUUACCAUGAAGUCACAUUGAUAUGUUGAUUUUAUUACCUGAUAAAUUAUCCGUGUUUUUAUAAUACGAAUUCUCCAAAUUGUUUUUUGCCGUGGUGUUGUCGGUUUGUUUCUUGUUUUGAGUUUGAAUGUCUCUUUGGUAUUUUUCGGCUGUUUUAUCCACAUAGUUGCGAUUUUUGCUAUUCUCCAAUGAUGAAAAGACGUUCUUUAGUGCCGCAUAAUUUUAAAUAUUUGGUCAGUGCUUUUCCAGAAUAAUGUCCAAACAACUUGUAUGUCUUUGUUAUAUAUAAUCUUUCUGACGAAUAUGUAUUUCAUACAAAGAAUUAAAAUUUGAAAUUAGAAUGACCUUUUAUGUUCUUAUGGGGUUUGAUUUAAAUGGAUCCUGUGUCAUGGUUACAUUUAAUUGAAUAACAAAAUAAUUAUCUAGCAUUUCGAUAGGUCUUCUCCGCAAGUAAAAAUUACAAUACUCACUUCAGAAAUACAAUAUUGAUUAUAUUUUCAUUUGAAAAAUGAAGAGAUAGGUCAUUUAUAUUAGAUGAACUGAUAAAAUGCAGACUGUAUUGCGAAUAUCAAUAAAAACCAGUUAUCCGUAGGUGUUAUUAUAUGUUUGUUAAACUGAAAAUAGACCAAAAUAAUAUGGAAUAAAAAAGAAAGACAAGCGACAUUUAUAUCAACAUCUAUACGUGUGAAAGUAAGCAAAGGAGUGAUUUCAUUCUUUUAAUUUUGGCGAAAACUUAUUUAUGUAAAUGCUCCAUUUGUCGAUUUUAAUGAGAGAUUUAGCUAUCUAUAACACCAGGUUCAAUCUAUGUUUUCUACAUAAGAAAAAACGGUUGCAAGUCAGGAAUAUUGCAGUUGUUAUCCAUUCCUUGGGUGUGUUUAAGCUUUUGAUUUUUCUAUUUGAUUAGGGACUUUCCUUUUUUGAAUUUUCCUUGAAUAUUAAAGGGAUAAUUCAUGAAUUUGCGAUGUUCCAUUCCAUGUAUAUGUUGUGAUGUGUAGUUUUGAGAAUAGAAAUAUGAUUUAUUCUAUGUUAACUCACAAUUAACUGCUUAAGGUGAAAUGGGUGUCUUUCGCCAUCUUGGAUUGUAAGCAACAGAGAAACUAAGAUACAGAUUUUCAAUCAAGUUAGCAAAAUUUGAUGAAGGAAUGCAGAUAACUAAUGUGAAUUUCAUUUAAAAGAACAAAUGUAUAUGCUUAUAACUUUUGAAUAUUAUUAUUGGUUAAAGUGUAGAAAUAUUUGUACUUAGUUUUUAUUUUUUUAAAUUGGCAUUUUAAGGGCAGAUAACUCAGAAAAAAAGUGCAUUUUCUGAACAAACUCCAUGGAAUUUUGCUGUUUUGUAUUCUAGUCAGAAAAAACGUACCCUAUCUUUUCUUUUUAUAUUCUCAAAGCAAUCCUUAAAAGCUAUCUUCUCGCAUUUUAUUUUACAAUUCUAUCAUUAAGUUUACAUUAAUUUUUAGCGGUGAACUAUAAUUUUUAUUACAUUUUUGAACAUAUAUCAAUAAGAACUGCAUUUUGGCAUAAAAUAUCAACAAAUUCUAUCAUUUUCAAUUUAGACACAAAUAUCACCUUAAUUAUGAAUAUAAAUCUUUUCUAUAUACGUCAUCGUUUUAAUUAUUUUAAAUGUUAAAACUUGUCUGGUAUACCAAAUGGCAAGCCUGGUAUUUUUAAUGAGGUUCUCUUAACUUGUUUCAUUAUAAAAGCGUCUUGUAUAUUGAGAAAACACAUUAUCUCAAUAAUGAUAACAUGCUUUUAAUGAAAAUACAUUUACUGCUUAUUUCCUUCGUUAUUAAAACUGUCUUUAACUUCGACCUAUAGAUAAAGAUAAGUAUUGGCUAUGCAUCAAUAAAACAACAACCGAAAUGAGAAAACAAAAGACAUACUAUUUCUCUGCACAUACGCCAAAAAUCAACAGCUUAUUUAGAUUUCUGCUGUAGAUAGGUUUGUACAUUAGUACUGAAAUUUCAAGCCUGUUUACUAUUUUGAAAUCUAAAAAACUUAUAUAGCUCUUUUCAUUAUUUAGAAAAAAAAUGCCGAUUUCUAACAACCAAUACUUAUGGUUCUUUUAUAACACAAGCGGGAGUAAGUGCUUUAAAGAAAUAAAGGUAAAAAAUGACACAAGUAUCAAAAUAUAAUUGUGAAACAUAAGUCUAAGGUAAAAGUUUAUAAUUUCCUAAUUCUGCUUGAUUAAAGUAGUUAGUAGUCAGUAUAUAUUAAUAUUGUUCUGAACUUUGAACUAUCCAUGUAUUUAGAGACAUGCAAAAACACCCAAAGGAUAUCAAACUGCCCGUGUUAUUGCAAAAAAAAAAAAAAAAUUAAUAGGAAAAACAAUCGUUGAAAAACUAAAGGCUUAACAAACAUUCUACAACAAUUCAAUUAUAAGACACAGACCUUAAAGAGAUUUUCUAUAGAAUAGAAUAAAUCGAAUGCAUUCUCUUAUUAUUUCGUUUUUAUUCAAAAAAUGCAAUAUCAUUUUAAAGGUAAGUAGGUAGCUAGAGUAGAAAUUUGAUUCGAACGUCAGCGAUGAGUCUUUUGAAGACAAACGCACGUCUAGAUCUAGCGUGUAAAAGUAUAUACCUGAGUUUUUUUUAUCAAUAUAUUCAGGAGGUAAAAUAAAUACCCUGCCUUAAUUGAAAUAAAUGAAACUGACAAAAAGAAAAUAACUAUGCAGAAGAAAAAAUCCAUUUCAUUUGACCUUUAUGUGAAAAAUGUAAAUAAAACAACUAAUAUCAAGAAAUGUCAAUGGUUUAUUUGACCUUUUUUAAUCGAGCAUGAUCACUGAUUAGACCUUUGAAGACGUAACGCGCGUCUGAUGUACAUCAUUGUUAUCCUGGUGUCUGUGAUGAGUUAAUUUACAAGAUCAAAGUAAGUCUGCAAUCAUAUGGUUCAAUGUCCUGUGUUUAUAAUUAAUUUCCAAUAACAUUAUUCAAACAACAAAGGCGAUGUCAAAUUCUUACUAUUACGUAAGAUCAAUGUCAACAUACUAUCUGUGUGGGAAACAGAUAAUACAAAUAAAUAAAGUACUUUGAUGAUUAGACCAGGAAAUCAUUAAUAGGCAUUAAAAAAAACCAAUACUAGGUAAAUUGUCUUGGUUUACUUUUCAAUCACGGGUACUGCACUCCUUUCACUCCUUUCCCUAUCGGGUGUGAUGUCUCCUGCUAGACAGCGGUACUACAUCAAGGUUCAAAAUCACUAAUCAUUAUUUACAUUCACGCCACAGCUUGCUUCAUUUUCAGAGAGUGUGGAAGCUUCCCACAUGGUAUAUAUAGCAGAUGUUGACGAAAUCGAAAUGUUAAUGUGCAUGUCUUCCAAUUUAGUGUAAAGUUUAAUAACUACAUCAUAUAUAAAAUCAAAAGUGAUAACAAAUUUAGCUCCAUAGAAAACAAAUACAUAUUUAUUUAUAAUCUGUAAAACGGCAAUUUAAGAAAAUACACCUGUAUACCUGCAAGCCUGAGAUAUAGAUGCCAUCACUGCAACAAGUGUGUUACGAUAUUUCUCAACUAAAGACAGUUUAAUUUUAAUAUUCAAAGCACGAGGCUUGCCGAGCUUUUUAAAUACUUAAAAUUUAACUGUUGAAAGUGGUUAAAUAUUGUAAUACACGAGUUAUAGUGGUGGAAUCUGUUUCUCUAAUGAUUUUUAUUCUUCAUUUUCUAAGAUUUGCAGAAAAUGACGUAAUCAGAUAUGGUGGCCUUUUUUUCGGGUAGUUAUAAUAGGAAAUUCAAGAGAAAUCAAGAAAAUUUAUCGUUUUUACCAACAUAUUUUUCUCACACCGCUCAGGUGAAAAUAGCACAAAAAUUAGAGAGUAUUUCUUCGUUAACCUUUGCAUGUCAUCAUAUCCGCAGUCGCAGAGUUUUUCAUGUUUUUGUUUGGUGCAUUUCUUUUAAACUAGAUUUUUAUUUUCUCCCAAUUACGAAAGAUCAAAUGACAUAGUUAGAUAUAGAUUAUAAUUGAAAUUGCCAAAAGGUAGGGAGGAUAAUAUUACGUCAAGAGAUGAAGGGUGAAUAGGUUUCAACAUUGAAAGCAGACACAGACUGAAUUUGCAUUAUAUGAUUGUAAUGGUUGUAAUGAUGAUUUCAGCUUCGCAUUUGUGAACUUUCCCUUUUUUUGUUGCACCAUUCCAGUAGUGCCUGCAAACAUAGUAUAUUUAUCACAGUUGAUAUGAUAUUCCAGGGCUUGCAUUUCCUAUAAUGAAUUUUCUGAUAGACAUUUGAUGCUCACAAAAAAGCGGUCAAAACAAGAGUUUCACAGAUGAUGACGGAUUUGUUCUACUUGUCGUAACAAGCCUCCGACCCCCUUUCCACCGAGCGUUACAUACCAAAUUAGACGUAUUUAUCGGAUUUUUUCCUAAUUAUAAGCAACACGAUUAGCGACACAUGCUAAACAGUGUCUGCUAACCCUUCGUGAGCGCCUGAGGUCAUCCUCAGAUUUUUGUGGGAUUCGUGUUGUCCAAUCUUCAGUUUUCUAUGCUGUGAUUUAAAUACUAUAUUGUAUUUUUAUACCCCUUCUAAAAAAAAGUGGGGGUAUACUGUUUUACCUCUGUCUGUCUGUCCGUCAGUCUAUCCAUCUGUUCAUCUAUUAGUCAUUUAGUCCAUUCGUCCGUCCCAUGAAUAUGUUUUGUCGCAUCUUUCGCAGGAACUGCAUCAUAAGGAUUUCUGAAAUUUGAAUCUGGUUUAAAUAAGUCAGCUAUACCGUGUGAUCUGUUUUCAGAUUCAUUACUCAACAACUUCCUGUUUGGCAAUCAUUUAGGUGAGGGCACCAUUAAUGAGCAGUAGUCCGCAGUUUCACUUGCUUCUUUUUGCAAUAGGUUAGUGAGCAAACUCCUUUAUCAACAGAGGGUUUUACCUCUGAUAUCUUCUUUUUAUAAUUUUAAGAUUGAAUUUGCUAGAGUGUAAAAAUUCUUAUACUUACAUAAUUAUAUGCACGAAGGACUAAAAAAACGUAUUCACACAAACAUCGUAGUUCUAAACGUAAUAGAAUAAAUACAUUAACCAACACUAGUUAUUUCACAGACAUAACCUUUAUUGUUAAUCGAUGUGCACAGUGUUGUACAUGUAUUGAAAAGUAAAAUCACAAAAAUACUGAACAAUGAAGAAAAUUAAAAACGGAAAGUCGCUCAUCAAUUGGCAAAAUCAAAAGCUCAAGCACAUCAAACGAAUUGAUAACAACUGUCACAUUCGUGACUAUGUACCGGCAUUUCUUUUGAUUGAACCUUGUUUUAAAGCGCUAAAUCUCUCCCGUUAUAUAGACAACGAUUUGUGAACAAAAUAAACAUUAUCGAUAAAAGUGUCACAAAUGGGGGCACAGUUGCAAUACGAACCCCACCAGAAACUCGGGGUGAUCUCAAGUGCUCUGUAAUGGUUGCAGAUCCUGUUCCACAUGUUGGUAAUGUUAAUACAAAGCCGGUAUAUAGUAUAAUUCGGUAGCUCACAUUCGUGAACAGGGAAUGGUAUUGUAGUAACGACAUAAGGAACAUAUCCGAUACCAUCUGUAAAACUGAUAUUUGAUAACGGUCAACAGGUGAUGGCGUCCAUAAAUUUAAGAAAUAAUUUCGUCUUAUUAAAUAAUGAUAUACUGGAGAAAUAAAUGUGAGAUAUGAAACUGUUUAAGUAAUCAACAAUGCUAUCAUGCAUCAUUUCAGGCUUCUUAUAUUGCAUACAAAUGUAUGAUUGUUUAUUGAACAAAUUCUUGGGUAGUAACCCGUUUAUAGUCGCGGUCGUGUAGUCUGCCUUUGAAUAAUUAUUGAUGGAUUUCGAUUAAUAUUUGUUUUUACCAAGAUGCCAAAAAUAACCACUUUUUCACAACACAACUACUAUAAAUCGAUACUCGCUGCUGCAUUUCAUAGUUUUCUGCUACAAGAAGACCGACAUAAAUUCAGACCCAAACAAAUUGACAAGUAAAGCAAUAAGAAGCAACUGUUUAUGUAGUUAAGAACGAUCGAAAUAAAGAAUUUGGACAACCAGUCGCCUUUAAAAAAAACUUAAAUGGAAAGGUGCAGAAAUUUUGCUUUGAUUCUAUAAAAUUGUUUAACUACAAAUAGCAUGACACUCACCUUUCACAAUGUUAUUCGCCGUUAUUUGUUGUUGCUGAUGGCAGUAUUAAUAAAAUUUCUAAAACAAAUGCUUGACUAACAUACUUAUUUUAGUUGUGAUAAAUAAAUCUUUUGUUAUACAUUACCAAUUUUAAAAAUAUAAGUUCCGAUGUUAAUGUUGCUUCAACUUUAAAGUUUAUGGAUUUCGCGUCCAUAAUGCAAAAUUUGAUAACACUCAUUUAUAUGAUAUCAGAAAAAAAAAUCGGACUGACCCCAAAAAUAUACAUAAAAAGUUAUUACGAUGGUAUAAUUGCAAAACAUCUACUAUACAUUUGAAGUUAACCUCUUAGGAUAUGUCCUAACAUAUAGUUUGGCAAAAGUUAUUUAUUUACUGUAGACAAUACUUUAAGUUCAAAAUGUUUAUAUCUUCUAUCUUAAUGGACAAUGUAUCUCAAUUGUUUGUUAUAUUAACGAUGUGGAAAGAGUUACAUAAACAAUACGGAAUAACAAUCACAAUACAACUACACUAUUCUUGUUUAUACGAACAGUAGUUGCGAAGUGUUUCAUUAUCCAAAUACUUUAUCAAUUUUAUAAACUUCAGGUUAUUUUGAAAGAAAGUACCACUAUGUUUAGGAGACUUUUGUCUGUGCUAACUCACCGUAAGCUCUCACAAAAUAAAUGCAGCACUUGAAAAAUUCAGAGUUUUUGAUUGAUAUGUGAAGCUUACACAUCAUAAAAAUCUGUAAAAAUAAUUUUCAUUUAGUUUGAUGUGUUUUAUCAUUUGAUUUUGCCAUUUGAUUGGUGACUUUGCGUUUUAAAUUUUCCUCGGAUAUCAGUAUUUUUGUGAUUUUACUUUUUAAGGAUCUUCGUAAUUUUAAUAAAAAACAUACUAAAAAAUAUAGCAAGAUAAAAUAUGUGAUCAGCACGGCUAUUUCAAAACUACGAAAUGCAAGUUGCUUAGUUAAAUUGAAGAAUUAAAAUCAUUUGUUAAAAGUGUUAUGAAUUUCUGUAUUGGCCCUGUCAACUUCGACUAAAUAUUGACAGGACAACGUCACCAGUAUUAGGACAAAUUGGCUCAUAUCAUUAAAUAAUUAAAAUUUACAAUUCUAGUACUGCAUUAUAAACUGUUUAAGAUGAUAUUUAACAUAAAAAACAGAUUGUGUUUAUUAUUAUUUGGUGUUUUUUUUUUCAUGAUGUUCGAGAUGUCCCCUACACUAUAUAUAUGUACAUUGAUAAAUUAAAAAAAAAACAGUAUGUGCAGAGCUUGGAAGUUUUUAUCACCUCAUUCUGACUGGACACUAUGGUUGCCUCCUUUGUGUCAUAUAACACCUAACUUUUCUGUGUAUGUAUUCAUCCAUGAUUGUCAAAUGUUUUGCUUUGAGCGUUCCUGAUGAAGCGUAAUCAAGGCCAGAAAAGCGCUUCGGAUACUCGAAAUUGUUUUUUUUUUUAAUUCGGACUGGUGAUCGCUACACGGAACUGAUUAAGAUGUACAUUAUAAUUCUAUAUAAUGUUAUAGUUAUAAUGAAACUUAACUUAGAAUGUGGUUCUUUUUAUGAUAUAUUAUGUUUGACACAAUAUAGUAAUAUCAAAACGUAAAUGAGUUUCUAAUUUACAAAUUUAUUUACGACGACAAUCAUUCUUUAUCACCAUAGAUGUAUAAAACCAUACAUCUAUGUAAUAACUAAUAAUUGACACCGGUUUCUAUAAAUUUAGAAUCAACCAUAUUCUCUAGCAUACCCUUUCUACUACUACAAUAGAAACAUACAUUUUUAUUUAGCAACCUGUUCAUAGAUGCUUGGAUUUAAAUCCCUAUUCAUAUCGUUCAUUUGUCUUCAAUGUAAACGUCAAUUGCAUAUGCUACUAGUAUCAAAAUAAUAAAUAUGAAAAAAAAAGGUUAAUAAGAGUUCAAGGUUAAAUACCUGCUAUAAGUGAUAUUGAUGAUAAAAGAAUUGUUUUCAUAGUUUUGUCUUCAUUCGUAGCAUCAUAAAAUGUGAUCUAUAAUUCUCAACUAUUUUCUAACUUGUUUUUGCUACAGUACCUAUUAAUACAAUACAUACAAUUGUCAUGCACAAUAAAUCACUAUUGAGUAUACAAACUACCGAAGAGAGAGAGAGAGAAAUAAUAAUAUGUCAGUAUAAUGUAUGCAACAAAGCUAACUAAACCUUAAUGUUGAAUGUUUUCAGAAUGUCUUUGGAAUAUACUAACAUUUAAACUAAAUAACAAUGAAUUAAUCAAUUGGUAACUAAACCAAUUUAGCAAAUAAACCACCUUUUAUUCUGACAUAGGUUUACAAAUGUUAAUCUGCAUGCAUUUUGUUGAAGUACGUCGUACAAGUAGUACGUCAGUUUCUAGAAUCAAAAUAUAUAAAUCUAUAGAAUAAGUCAAAGCUUAACCUCUGUUCUUACAAAUUAUCCCUUCUAGGUACAGAAAAAGUAAUCUGUAAAUACAUCAAAGAUUAAAUGAAUCAAUAAAUCAAAAAAGUAUUAAUACUGAAAAAUAAAAAUAAAUAGAUUAAGUGAGAUUCGCGUAUUCUGUCAAAAAGAUCGAAUAAUUAAACACAGCCAGCAGGCAUCAGUAUGCAGAAAACAUUUUGUGGGCAAUUAGAAGUUCGAGGCUAUUUAAUUGCUAAUUUACAUACUAAUGCAGAAUUUAAUGCAUACCUUACGUAAUGGCUAUCUGUUAGUGUCGGGUAUUAAAUGGGAGACAGUCACGUACUUGACAUUCGUCGAAUAUCACUACACUUGUGUAAUGCAACAAUAUAAUAUACGAAUAAUCGAACAAAGCAAUGAUUUACAAAUAAACCGAUGAGAAAAUGAAAAUUGCGAUCUAGCAAAAAUAUUAACAAGUCAACUGUGAAAGUGUGCUAUAUAUAAUUAACAAUGAAAAACGAAUUGACAUUGGUUACUUUCCACAAUCGAUAUUUGUAAUAAAAAAGGGUAAUAAUUCAAUUGGAAGAAUUCAUUUCUAAAAAUGAAAUUAAAUAAUGUUAUAAAAAUAAAAAAUAAACAAACCCAGAAGUUUUUCUACAAAAAUAGAAAUUAAACGAAAAUUAUAGAUACUCCUUUAUUCCCGUUGACAAAAUUUGGAAAAAUUAUAUCUAGUAUUUAUUAGACCAAUUUUUGAAUAUGCAACUGAAGUAUGGGACAGUUGCGAAAAGUUAUUCAAUUAAAUUAGAACAGCUACAACUUGAAGCUGACACGAAUUGUAACAGUUUGCCUGUUUUCCACAUCUGAGACUGUCUUAAAAGAGGUUGUUGGGAAACUUAGAGGAACAAGAAAAAGAAGAAAACUACAAUAUUUUAUAAAAUUCAGAAUAAUAAUGCCCUGAAUAUUUUGUAGCCUUGUGCCCUAAAAUCAAGUACAACACAAUAUCCUUGCGAAAUAAACAAAUCUCAUUUUACCAUUUGCAGGCUACCUGACUUCCCAAUCCUUUAUCCUAUCAACAAUUAAACUUUGGAAUAAUUUGAGAUAUCAGUUCGAAUGUAACUCGUUAUCAAAUUCAAGUAGAAUUAAAAAAAAAACGACAUUCGAAAGAGAAUCAAUUUAACUAAAACAUUAUUUAUCUGGUCAAGAAAAUGAAUAUAAAUUACCCAAUUAAUUUGUCAUCGUUCUUAAUUGUGACUUGUUAGAGCUAACAUUAUAUCUAUCCAACAUGUAAUGUGUUUGAUAUGAGACUGCCCAUUUUUUUUAUUGUCCUUUCAUCUAAAUUGAAAGGGCUAUUCUGUUUAAUGGUUUCAGCUGGCUUCCGAAGGCUGCGAUUUGGACUUAAAACUACUGGUUGAAAGAACUCUCUCCUAUGAUCAAAAUGUGAAACUGUUAAACAAGUAUUCAUUUUAUAAAGAGAUCAAAACGAUUCUCUAGUAUAGUAUCAACAUAGUAAACGCAAUCUUCAUCAUUAUCAUCAUCACCUAAUCUCUGUCGUUCUUUCCUCAUUCCUCUACAUUUUCAGUAUAGUUAAGUAAUUUUAUGUUUUAUAUUUUGAUGCAUGCUCACGUUCAUUUGUAUUGUUAUAUAUUGUAUUGUGGAGAAGACUUUAUAAGUAGUUUUCUUGUGUCUUAUCUUUUUGCUUGAGCAAAUAAAAUAUGUUUAAACUAAAUCCCGUUGAUAGUCUAAAGAAUGCAAUAUAGCUAUAGAUGGAAAAUAUUCUAAAUGAAAAAAAUACGUUCCUUAAAGUUGUGCUAAUUUAUCUAGGGCCACUUAUGCACGUGGUAUUCAAUCCCCAUUGAUAUUAGAUUGGUUAAAAUGUUUUAGUUAACAGUCUUGCAAAUAAAUAUUUUAUUUCUAUAUGAAAGGAACAUGAGACAAAGACAAAAACAAAAAUGAACAUGAUCACGUUUGUAAAAGUUGCUCAUGAAGAGUUAAUAUUUCUAGAUAGCAAAAAAGUCCAACUGCAAUUUUAUAGACGUUAAUAUCAUAUUGACUAUCCAUAUGCAAGAAGACGUUGUUGAAGCAUAUGGUAAAUGACUGUCACUGGUCUUUUUUAUGUACUGAAGGAAAUAUAAAUUCUAGAACAAUAUUAGUUUUGGAUUCGUUUUUGUUUCAAAGAUAUGGCACAAACACUAUUACAAGGAGCAAAUUUGAAAAAUAUGAGAAGACAAAUUGAAGAAAGACAACAUGUUGUUUGUAUUACUAUCAGCCCGAAUUACAUUAACUAGGCAUAUACAUCAAAUGAUAUUUAUCAGAAACUCGAGACCAUAAAUCAAUUAAUAUCAAAUAUGAUAAUAAUAGACGAAGAUUGAAGCAAAUGAACUUGACAUAUUAUUGUAGAGUUUCCAUGUGACGACUAGGAGUAGAAGACAAUAAUUCGAAAUUUGUAUCACCUGACGAUUCUAGAAAGCAUUUAUUUACAGUCGGUGUCAGAAUAACUCGUCAUUCUUUUAUUACAAUCGGUACAGGUCGUGUUGAUGUGGGGAAAUACUUUUGUAAACGAUUUCUCAUCUAAUUUAAAAAAAUGUAUUAUUGUGUUUUCCUUUCGAGGAAGAGUUAACUGCGUGGUUUUGUUGCGUCGACAAUUAUGAAAAGAUUAAAAUAAAUGUAAACAAAGAAUUGUUUGCAAUGAUUCGUUUAUUUAAAUUCUCAAUUAAACUAAAAGAUAAAAACCAGUAAUCGUUAAAUGUCAUUGAUAAUCUACAAUUUAUAUGAUUCUAAUUGUAUGGAAAAAAAAAACAUUUUGGAAAUCACGGAGUGUUUUUUGUUUGUUUUUUUUUUGGGGGGAGGAGGGGGGUUGUUACAUCUACCGUUUGCCACUUUCAGUAAAUGCGAAUUCUUCAAGGUCAGCACUUUAAGGUUAUUGUCAUUUUGUUCUGGUUUGUGCUUAGUAUCUUCUUUUGAGUCAAAUACCGUUCAAUCUGAAUUUUACAGUUCUGUUGAAGGGUAGAGAGGAGUAAGUACGCACAAACAGAUUCAAUUCUAAUUGGAAUUGAUGGACUACUACCUUUAAAGAUGAUAACGUAUACAUGUAUUUAUUAUUAUGAAACAAGAUGCAUUAUUUCAUAGACACUAGUAUUCGAAUAACUUUAUAAGUAAGUUGUUAACAAUUAAAAUCAAUACUUAUUGGUGAUAUUUCCGUAAAAAUGACAGCGUGGCAUGAUUUCUUUUAAAUUGAACUUUACUUUAUUGAUAAGUCCAUAUAACAUUAAAUUUACAAACCCCAUUAAGCUCCUCAUAUAUUACAAACAAAUAUGUAUAAGGAAUUUUGAAUGUUCUUGUUUUUCCAAACAUGAUUAACGAAGAGUUUUUCCUGAUAAAACAACAACAACAACAAUUGGCAAGAAGUUAAUCGAAUUCAUAACAAUGGAAUAAUCAUGUUUCGAAAUACUUAGUUCCUUAUUACCAGUAAACAAGUUAUACAAAUGAAAGAUUGUAAAAACAUAGAUAAGAUAGAAAUUAGGAAAUGUAGACAUAAUAAUGACAAUUAAAAAUAAAACUCUGGCUCGACAUAAUGAUUAUUGCUUACCUUUAAGGAUUAACCUGUCUGGAAAUAUAAAUCAAGUUCAUUUAUUUUCACAAAUGAUAGCAUUUUGAAAAUCGACGAAUACUUCAAUUUGAAAAAUCUUAUUUCAGUUUAAUAUCAACAAACGUUUUUCAAUUUUUUUAUUUCGAUACGAGAUAGUGAGAAAUUACUUUCUCUAAAGAGUUUUAACUUCCUUCGAAUUUAACUUGACUAAUGAAGUCAUCAGAUCAUCAAUUUGCCAAACAAACAAAAAAGUGAAAAAAAAUACCAAACUCGAAAGAAACAACUACUUUUUAAACACUAGUCAAAUUGGGAUAUCAAACUAUCAUACUAUGUUAUUACAUUGGUAUUCAUAUUUCUGAAAUAACUUUAAUCAAUUAUCAAGACCCUACUUAUCACAGGACGCGAAAUAGGAAGAGAAGGAACUAUUUUUGUUAUACAAAGUUACGUAAACAUAUAAUUACAUGCAUCCUUCGAUUGCGGUAAUAAACCAUUCAACAGGUCUUACUUGUACUUGUACUCAAAGACCUGAUAAAGAGUACUUAAAGUGAAGAAUUAUGUUAUUCAUCAUUGCAGUCGAUGACAGAUAACGUCACAGACACACAAUCAUCAUGAACUUUUGAAGGUAAUUAUGUACUCCAGUUUACGGAUGAACAACGACAAUAACAUAAUUGUGACGAAAUGGUUACAAAACACAUAACAAUAGAAUAGUCAUGUGUCGAGGUAAUUUGGGAAAUUCAUUUCAUAUGUCAAUUAAGAAAAGAGUACCAAAUUCCAAGGUAAAUUCAAAAAGAGCAGAGUUAAUAAAACUCGAUAUUAUGAAACGGUGGAUCUAAUAAACAAACGGAAUGAAUGAGAAAUUGCUGUCAUAUUACUAAAUUGGUACAGACGUUUUGGGGAAAAAGUUGUGCGUUAAACCUUGUUUUAUAGUAGGCUAAACUCAAACUAUGACAGUUCUUUAAAUUUUGAUGCAUUGACGAAAUUUAGCGUGCAGCCCAUACCUAGAAAAUCUAAAACAUAUUCGCACCAAGCCACAAAAACUGAGUUCGCAUACAUAAGAUAAACACUCAAAUUGCAAAAAAAUCAAAUAGACAAAACCAAAAUAUAUUAUCAAAUAACAACAGACAAAAUUCAAUAUUAUGCUUAAAAUUGUUAACAAUAAAGAUCAAAUUGAAAUCGAUUACCAUUUCUGAUAAUCAUUGUUUAAACAUGUUUUUAAAUGAUUGUUUUCAAAAUAAAUAAUUAUUCAUUUCUAAUCAAACAUUGUGUGUCAUUUUAAGUUCAAUUAGCAAGACAAGCACACUCACUUCUGUUAACAACAAUCAAAUCUAUAAAAAAAACAAUCACAUUGAUAUAAUGUUCAUCAACUUAGAUAUACUUCAUAUUAUAAUGAUGUAUCCCGUAUUCCAAGCAGCUCCUGGAUCUAGUAUUUCGGCAAAAAUAUGCCAUUAAAUGUAACGAUCUUUGAUUAUUGCACACUGGUUUAAAUCUUAUCACUAUUAUUAAUUCAAUAAAGGCAACAGUAGUAUACCGCUGUUCAAAACUCAUAAAUCCAUGGACAAAAAACAAAAUCGGGGUAACAAACAAAAGAGGGAAACGCAUUAUAGAGGAGAACAACGACACAACACGAAAGGCAACACAAAACACCACGAGUAUUAAAUCAUUUGGGAUAGAUAAUAUCCACGUCCUUUUCUAAAAGUAAAUAAACAAACACAACGGAAAAUGCAACACACACAGAAACGGAACAAUAUUUAACAAUGGCCUCUUCCUGACUUGGUAACACACUUUUAAAGGGGAAUAAAAGUGGUGGGUUGAACGCUGUUUUAUGGCAUGCCAAACUCGCACUUAAAUGGCAAAGUUAAAUAUAACAUUGAAAUGACAACAUAAUAUUACAGGACUACAAUACAAAUAAAAAGGUGACCAUAUUAGACAAAGUUAUUCAUGAAAUACAUGUAUAUCUACUUAUUUAAGAUAAAUGACUCUCAAAAUUUUAUUAGUUUUUUUCAUGCUUUCGUUUUUACGGAAAAUCUGUAUUUUCUUUAUUCAUUUGUUUAAAUCUAUCAGGCUUACCAAGGAUCAAUGUUAUUCAAAUAAUGAUAUUGUCAAAGGCAAUAAUAUGAUAGUCGGGUGUCAAAAGAAAUAAAAUUAUACUACAAAUAUCAAAUGCAACAGGAUAAUAUGUUUUGAUUAUUUUUUAUUUUGAUAAAAGACAAAGAGAAUUGAUUUGUUAUGUCAUGUUGAUUACUAAGUAUUUACAUUUCGUGAAAUCUUCAGUUGUUCAAUUAACAAAACAAACACCCACUUAUUAAGAAAACACAAAUCUAGAGUAAUAAUUAUAAUGAUAUUAAUGUUAUAAACUUAGAUUUACCUCAUAUAAUUAUUACUUAAGUCUUAUGUAUCACAGCUCUUGAAUCAAGUAUAUGGAAAACAAUAUGACAUUACAUUGAACGGCCUUUGAUUACUGCAAUCCACACUCUAUUAUGUUCAAUAAAAUUGAGAAUGAAAAUGGGGAAUGUGUCAAAGAGAGAACAACCCGACCAUACAGCAAACAACAGCCGAGGGCCACCAAUUGGUCUACACUGCAGCGAGAAACUCCCGCACUCGGAAGAGUCCUUUAGCUCGCUCCUAAACAAAUAUGUAUUCUAGUUCAGUGAUAAGGCAAGAGGCUUAAUAAUUGCGACAGGCGCAAAAAUGCGGCAGGGUUAAAGUUAUUUUCAAAUCCUAAAAUCAUAACCAGUAACCUUCAAUUUAAGAUGAUAACUAAUAGACAUUUCCUUGUGCCAUUAACCGUUCAUAAUCAUAUAUUUUGGGAUGAUAAAUCAUUGAUUUAACCUCAUCAAUGGUCAAUAACGUAUAGUAUUGACAUUCCUAGACUGCAAUAAACCUACAUGUACAUAUGUAAUGAAUUGUAUCAAUUACUUAAUCAUUUAUACAUUAGUAUAAAUUAAAUGAUAAUAAUGAGGAUAUGCUUCGAACAACUCGGUUAUACUUUAUCAAGUAAAGAAACAAUUAUAUGAUCACAAUAUAAUGUCAGGUGUUCGGAUGGUCAACAUGCGGAAGUGGAUUGCCUUCUACUAGGUUGUGUUUUUGAAAAUCAUAUCAUACUUAUACUAAGUGGUAAUUCAUAGUUUAUCAUAUUUGCAUGGUUGAAAUUUUCAAAUGUUAAUGUUAUUAAAUAAAUACGUAUUUAGAUAGAUGAAUUUAUCAGAGCCUUCAAAGUGGUUAGUAUAAGUAUCAAGAUUUGUUAGGUAUGCUUUAAACCAAGAGUUCCAAAUGGUGAAGUUGAAAUCAUCCCUUCGUAAAUUUUACGGACGCCAUCAUGAGUUGGUUGACCGUUAUGGAAUAACCGUUUCACAAAUGAUAUCGGAUAUGUUCCUUACGUCGUAACUACAAUCCCCUUUCCUUUCAUGAAUAUGACCUACCGAAUUAGACUAUUUACCGGAUUUGUAAUCACUUAAGCAACACGACGGGUGCCACAUGUGGAGCAGGAUCUGCUUACCCUUCCGGAGCACCUGAGAUCACCCCUAGUUUUUGUGGGGUUCGUGUUGUUUAUUCUUAAGUUUUCUAUGUUGUGUCGUGUGUACUAUUGUUUUUCUGUUUGUCUUUUUUAUUUUUAGCCAUGGCGUUGUCAGUUUGUUUUAGAUUUAUGAGUUUGACUGUCCCUUUGGUAUCUUUCGUCCCUCUUUUAUGGGUCAUUGUCUGUACGAUAGUCCGUAUUUUCAUAUCAUUAACGGCCAUAGGUUCAGAAACAAUCUUAAUGAUAACACUUUUUUACAAAAUCUUACAGUAAAUUAUGGAAAUAAUGUUAUCGAUAAAAAGUAAAAUCACAAAAAUAAUGAACUCCGAGGAAAAUUAAAAACGGAAAGUCUUUAAUGAAAAGGCAAAAUCUUCUUGAUAUUUUACCAAUUCCCAUGAUAUUAUCAUUAAGACUGAGACCGUCCGCUGUUUUUUUUAUCUAACUUAAUUAGAUUAUUUUCCGAACCUCUAAAGCUUGAACUGUUAAGACUUUAAUAUGGUGACCUUUUUCCUAAGGUGUUUAUAAAUGAUGGUUUUAAAUGUAUUUGGUUUUCUAAUACAAUUAAGGUGUUGUUGUGAUUUUUGUUAUAUAAUAUUUUACAAGCUUUUUCUUUUUGUUGUUCUUUAAGACCUGUCAAAGAGUACUUUCGAUUCACGAUUAUCUAAUUUACCAGUCCUGAUGAUGAAGGAUUACAUCUCUGACAAACAAGUGACAUGCUCUUUUGUAGGAAUGUAAUAACUUCAGUUAACCGAUGAACAAAGACAAAUCAAUUAGAACAACAAAUAGCAAGACGAUUACCACACUAUUGACAUCAAGAUAACAGGUGCCGAAAUUACAAGAAUUUUCCUGCAAAUGGCUAAUGCACCAGCUGUUAUACCAUGAGGUCCAUGAAUAUGACAGUUGUUAUCCAUUCGUUGUUAUUAUUGCUUUAUUAUAAUUUUUGCAUACUGUGUACGACAAAAUUAUUUUAUAUCUCUACCUGUGUGACGUUUCCAUUUUGACGUCAAACGAGUGAUUUAUCCCAGAGUUGAUGUUAAUCUAGCCCUUUUGGGCACUGAACUUAAAAUGUUUCAAUCCUUUAUGGGUUGAUUUAACAUACAUUAUUAAAAUACAUAAUUUAAAUAUGACGUGCUUUUUUCGUUUUGUGAAAAAAAACCAUGCUCUUAAUCAAAUAAAAUUUGUUUGCACAUGCGUAUAUUGACUACUGCAGAAUACUGAAUUUUAUCACAGUGGCAUGCAUUUAAUAUAUUUCAUUAGCUUAAAACACUUACAAGCUCUUAAUAAUGCACAUGUUGUUUGUUACUAAUUCAUUUAUCAUGUCUGUCACGUGUUGCCAUUUGAAAUUGCCAUAUUUGACCUGGAUACGACAACCGUUCAUGUUGGCUGUUCAAAACUCCUCCCUCGGAAAAAUCACAUUGACAGUCGUUUGCAUGUUUACUAACAAAAAAGGGAGGUUCAUGGAAGAGCCUACACAAGCUCUAAACUUCGUCGCUUGGGCAAAAAUAAUCACUAAUAUGAUGCCUACCCAUGUUAAAACUACAAUAAAGUAUAGCUUGCUUCAAUUAUUUCUUAAAUAAGCUUACUUAUAAGUAAGCACUGAACGUGGUUAUUAAGUUUGAUAUAUGCUUUCUUGUGCUUCUUAGUUAAAUAUUUGUUUGUUUUUGGUCGGAUUGAUAUUGUACCCUAUUUUGACAGUUUUACCUAUUAUAAAAUAAAAUUGAGAAAGGAAAUGGGGAAUGGUCAAAGCGACAAAAACCCUAAAAUAGAGCAGACAACAGCCGAAGGCCACCAAUGGGUCUUCAAUAAAGCGAUAAACUCCCGCACCCGUAGGCGUCCUUCAGCUGGCCACUUUAAAAAAUAUGUAUACUAGAACAGUGAUAAUGGACGUCAUACUAAACUCCGAAUUAUGCACAAGAAACUAAAAUUUAAAAUCAUACAAGACUAACAAAGGCCAGAGGCUCCUGACUUGGGGCGCACAAUGGCGGCGGGGUUAAACAUGUUUAUGAAAUCUCAACCCUCCCCCUAUACCUCUAGCCAAUGUAGAAAAGUAAACGCAUAACAAUACGCACAUUAAAAUUCAAAUAAAGAGAAGUCCGAGUCCGAUGUCAAAAGAUGUAACAAAAGAAAAUAAAUAAAAUGACAAUGAUACAAAAAUAACAACAGACUACUAGCAGUUAAAUGACAUGCCAGCUCCAGACCUCAAUUAAACUGAUUGAAAGAUUACGUCUUCAUCAUAUGAAUAUCAGGCACAAUCCCUCCCGUUAGGGGUUUAGAAUCCUACUUUCAUAAAAUAUAUGAGAAGAACAUAACCCGUGUCAUGCCAACAACUGUUUUUUUUUUAAAUAAAUGUGUUUAGUUCCGAUGCAAAGACCCUUUAAGUGAAUUAAUAUCAAAACCAAAAUAUGCAAUCUUUUAUGACCUGAUAACAGUAUCGUAACUAUAUUCCUUCUUAAGAAGUCUGUUUAAAGGUUUUGUAAGCUUUUGAGGUGAAUACUGACAUUUUUGUGCUUUGUAAAGAAUAUUACUAUAAAAGAUUGGAUGUGGAAUACUUGAACGCAUAAGAUAUCUGCAUGUUGAGUUAUAUUUACGAAUUAUUUCCUUAUACCGAUGAUAAAAUUUAGUAAAUGUGUUGACUAGUUUGUGAUAUCGGAAACCCUGGUGCAAAAUUUUUUCGGUAAUACAUAAAUUUCUCUCGCUAAAAUCUAAUACGUUGUUACAUACACGAUCGAAUCGUACAAGUUGAGAUAUAUAAACACCAUAAGAUGGUAACAGGGAAAGUCACCAUCUAGAAAUGGAUAAUUAACGAUAGGAAAUGAAAAAUCAUGUCUGUUUUUUUCAUGCAUCGUUGUCAAUAUCAUUGAAUUGAAUGCGACUGUCGUACAAGUGAGAAGUUUUGCGCUAUUAAACCAAAGUUCAAUCCACCAUUUUCUGCAUAAGAAAAUGCCUGUACCAAGUCAGGAAUAUUUCAGUUGUUGUCCAUUCCUUUGAUGUGUUUGAGCUUUUGAUUUUGCUAUUUGAUUAGGAACUUUCUGAUUUGAAUUUUCCUCGGAGUUCAGUGUUUUUGUGAAUUUACUUUGUACUGUACUUAAUCUUUUUUUCAACAUUUUGUUUUUGAUUUGUAAAACCGUAGUCAUGAAUCAGCUCUAAUAAAAACAUUCGGUUAGAAUGGUUGUUAAUAAAUUCAUCAUAGAUACCAGGACCAAAGUUUUACGCUUACGCCAGGCGCGCAUUUCGUCUACAAAAGACUCAUCAGUGACGCUCGAAUCAAAUAAUGUUUACAAGGCCAAAUAAAGUACGUAGUUGAAGAGCAUUGAGGACUAAAAAUUCCUAAAAGUUUUGCCAAAUACAGCCAAGGUACUCUACUCCUGAGGUAGCAUAUAUUCAAUUAUAUAAAAAAAAGUUACCACAGCGUUCUUACUUGUGUAAGUAUUAUAUUAUGGUGUUAUGCUAUCGUAUUCAGCCAUUAAAACAGUUUCAGAUUUGUAUGAAGGUCCUGUUUAGAGAAGAAUACUAGUAUAUAAAACAGUUAUCACAUUUUUUUUAUUAGGUUUAGUAUAACAUAAUGUUGUUGUUGUUGUUGUUGUUCUAUCACAAUUCGCUAUGAAAGCCGAUCCAGAUCUGCAUUUUGGUUCUGCUAAAACAAGGAAAAAGCUUAAUACGUUUUCAUUUUAAAAUCUAUAAAUUUACACACCAUCCGGGCUUCAUCAAAUAAUGGGCGUCACUGAUGUUGACGCAACGCGAGUCUGGUGUACAUACUUGUAAGCCUGGUAUUAUUCAUUUUUUUGUAUACCCAUCCGACUAGUGAACUAGGGAAUAUAACAAGAGGUUAUCACUGUCGAAUGAUAAUUUUCAAAUAUUCAAAUGCAAUCUUGUUCCUAUAAUCAUAUUAUGUUUUUUGUUUAACCUAUUUUUUAUUAACUUUAUGUUUGAAAAUUAUAUUGUAAUUAUUCUGCUCAUUUUGGGCGCCAUGAUUGGCAAAUAAAAUAUUUGUUUGUUUGUUUGUUUGUAUAUCGUCAUUUAUCGUAUGCUUAUAGAAAACAAUAGAAUUAUUGUACCCCAUGAUAAAAUGAAUUUGUACAGAUAUUUAUUCAUUGAAUUUGAAGAAUUGCCUUAGCAGUGUGGUAUGACUUUCGUUAUCAAAUGGGGUUUUUAACAUUAAAACUCAGAUUGACAUCGUUACUUUCCCCUUUCGAUAUCAAUAUGGAAAGAUCACUGUGUUGAUUUGGAGAGUUCAAUUCUAUAAAUAAUCAACAGUAAGUUUUAAUAUGUUUUUAUUUUAUAAGAGGCAAUGACUAUGUUACAACCUAUUAAUGUCUUAGCCUACACUUUGCCGAAAUAUUCAGUUGUUCAAGCACCUUCUUCUGAAAAGAAAACAACAACAAUUAGUAUAUAUUUAGAUUCACAUUAUGUAAUCAAUAGUUUAUAUUUCAUAGGACCUUUGUGUAUUGCAAACAACACUCAAUUUUUUUAAGGUCCUCUUUUGAAAAUCAAAACGAGUAAGCUUCAAAUGAAAAAAAGUCUAGGCAACAGUUCGGGAUUUUCAAAUGCAUAAUCAUUAUAACAACUGAUUAUUGGUAUUCGUACAUUUGUAUCUUAGAAAUUUUCUAAGGUUGUAUGACUUCACUCGGAAAUCUUUCUAAUUACUGUCAAACACUUGAAGUCACGUAUCUCAAUGACAGACAUUAGGAGACCAAACAGCAUCUACACAUUAGAAAUAAAUAUAUCAAUGAACCAUUCCUGUAUUUUCUGCACUCUACAUCGUUUUCCAAUAAGUUAUAAUGUUGUGAUUUUACCAUGUACCAUGCACGUCGUCUGUUUAAGAGUUAGAAUUAAAGAAUACGGAUAUAUUUCAAAAAUAUGUACACCGUAGUCCUGCUUGUAAAAUCGUGUUCAGUUAUUUUUAUCAGAUAGUUAAAGCUCGGUUGAAAGAAACACCAACUUUGAAAUAAAUCGUUCUUAAAGAUUGAAAAUAAAUGGUAAUUAGUACAUAUUUGCAUUGGUUUUCUCGGAUACUGUUAAUAAAAUAAACGUUUGUUGACUAUACGACACCAAAACACAACUCAUAAUAUCCUAAAACAUCUCUGUUGUGAUAAAAGUGAAAAGUGACCAGAAUGAGACAUCGAUUGGCACUGGCACAAAAGCAGUUUAUGUCUUAUCUGAUUAUAUAUCAAAUGUUCUUAUAAUGUAGCAAAUGUUGAGGAUACAAUCUUUUAGAAAGCAAAUCGGUACUAGAUAAAUAAAAAUCAAUUAGCAUUUAAACAGUAGUGACUAGUACUGCAUGCCGUUGGAAGGUGAAAAAUAAAUAAUGAAGAAGUAAAGUUAUACUAUCUGCGUUCGUCAAUUAUGAAUAGUGUUUAUUUGAUAACAUUGUACCAGAGCUUGAUAUGUAUAAAUACGUUAAAAACCAUGCAUUUGUAAAUUUGAACAUUUUUUUUCUAAUUAAUUUCUGUAAUUUUUAAUCAAACUAUUGAGUAUUUAUUAUGAAACCAGACAAGUGGAAAGUUGUUUAAUUGGCAAUCACACCACAUCAUCCUUCAUGUAGACUAUACUGAAAAAUGUCCGACAUCCAAAAAUAAAAUUACAAAAAAUACCGAACUCUGGGAUGAAAUUCAAACGGAAAGUCCUUAAUCAAUUGACAAAAACAAAGGCUCAAAAAAAGGCUCAAACAAAGGCUCAAACACAUCAAACGAAUGAAUAACAACUGUCAUAUUCCUGACAUGGUGAAGACAUUUUCAUGCAAGGAUCAUGUUUAAGCUCAUGCGACGUCUAAAUAAACUGAAACGUAACUAAACAUAUGGACGCCUACGUUCUUCACUAAUACGAAAAGUCAAUGUUACGUUAUAAUUGCAUCAAGUUAAACAAAAACAUAUAAACCAUAGUUCAAAAUAAAAUUUAAAAAUAUAAUUCAAUCAAUGAAUCAUUUAUUUCACAAAUUGCAUAAUAAACCGAAAGAGUGAUUAGGGAGAAAAAAAAACAGUUAAUGACAUACAAAUUAUUCUCUUGAUUAAAACCAUGUUGCCGUUGAUGGGUCUUAAUAUAUAAAAUACGGCGUACUUUGAUAUGUGUUUUGAUUGCAAGUACAACAUAAAUAAAGUAUUCGCGGUAACAUUACCUAAGCUAGAGGAGAAAUCUGAUAUAGAAUGAAAUUCAAAACAGUGUGGCUGUGGCCAUUGAUUGACACAUUAAAUUCAUCCAUUGACUGGGACAAUUUAGGUGAACGUUUGUAUGCUUUAACUUGGCAUUUGUUCGGCUUUAUAAAUAUUUUGAUAUGAGCGUCACUGAUGCGAUUAAUGUAGACGAAAAGCGCGUCUGGCGAACUAAAUUAUAAUUCUGGUACCUUUGAUAACUAUUCCAACAUAUUUAUUAAUAAUUGACCAUUAUAAAAGUUUUAACUAUUAAGGAAAUAUAGAAAAAAAGAUAUUCAAAUAUUCAAAUAUGCUAUACUGACACUAUGCCUUAUUCAACUUAAUCAAUUGUAAGGUUUUUAACGUGCCUCUUAUUAAAAAAAAACCGAAAACAGUAAUUGCUAUUUGAAAUUUACCAUAGUUGAAAAGCAGUUGAUUACUUGCUUUUGUUAUGAUUGGAUUGUUUGACCUCAUAUAAUGUUGUUUCGAUAAAUAUUUUCAUUUACCCAAUGGUUAACCAGAAAUUACUUAAAACUUUCCUUGUGAAGAGAUUACGCAAUUAAACACAGAUGUUAAAAUAUUAUUACAAUUGAUUAUAGUUAUUUCAUUCUAGUGCAGAAAAGAUAAACACUUAACCUAUCCAUUUUUUUGUAGUUUUUGAUUAUCUGGGUUUUUUUGUGUUGCCUGUUGACUUUGCAAAUCAUAUUUAAUAUUUAAUUCAUAUAGACGUUGCUGUAGAUGAGCCGCAUUUCUUUACUAAUGUUGCAUUUACAUAAUUUUCAUAUUGACCUUCUAACUGAUUUUCAUAUAUUUUGUUUUCAAACCAUUCAACCAUAAUUGCAUGCAAUGCAAGCUCUAUGCGACACAAAAAUAGCAAUAUAUGAUUUUUAUUGUCAUUCUUUUAGUCUUCUUUUCGAAGUGGUCCCUGUCACCAAGUUGUCCAUGUAUCCCAACUACUGUUUCACUAGCUUACAACACUGAUAUUGGGACUUUGAACCCCGCAUGUGGCAAAUAUGCUCAACUCCCAUCGUAUCUGAUUAGUCAGGAUUGAUAGUUUUCCUUCCUAAGAUCGGUGUAAUUGAAUGACUUAUACACAUGUAUACAAUGUGAAUAACGAAUACUAAUGUUAGAUGUUGAAAAAUAACAGAUAUAUACAUUUUUUCUUCGAACUUCUAUCGAGAGGCAUUGUUAAAAACUUGAAUUACUUUUAAAGGUAACCUAUACACAACUUGUGGCGGUAUUUGCUCUGUCGUGUCAUAUGUAUUGUGUAGUGUUUUUUUUUAUCAUAAAUGUUUACUAUCUUUUGCCAUAAAAUUUACAUGUAAACAAGUAAAGGUCUAUAUCCUCCCGGUUUUGAUUCGGGGAAUCAAAGCGGACUGAUUUUGUCCAAAGUAUUAGUAUUCUACCAAAAUUUUCAAAAAAAAUACAGGCGGACAUAGUUUACAUGGGGAAAAUAUUGAUCAUUCCAUGUACAAGUUUAUUUUGAGGUGAAACAAUUUGUUUAGAGUCUUUUAACGUUAAAAACAAUCUAGUGCAUACACAUGAUAUUACAAUUUUGUAUUUUUCUAAUAAGAUAGACCUAAUAUUUUUCAAAUAAUUAUUCCUUUAACGGGACAUCUUAAUAUUACAAUUUACUUGCAUAUAUACUGGUAAAGGUAUCUUAUCAUUCGUUGAUCAGGAAACGAUCUUAGAAAACGACGUUAGGUGGAAGGAGGGUUGUCUCAUUAGCAAUCAUAUCACAACUCUUUAUAUCAUUUUUUCCAAAUUGUUAAAAUUAUAUAAACGAAGGAGAACGAUUUUUUGCUGUCAGCAACUACUAAAGAUGUCUUCUAUUUCAAUAUGAAAUUUGACCGAUUCUCUUUGAAUUAUAAGGUAAGCUUACUAAUUAAUUACAACAUGUAAUACAGUCAUUUAUAAUAAGCGUAACCACAACUGUGCUUCAUACACCUUCGCGUAGGAAUGAUAAAAUACAAACAAAACGUGUGUCUACCAAAUUAUAAUCAACAAUAAUCUCUACCUUUUUAUCUGCUUCUUUUAUUUUAUUUUACUAUAGGUUGAUUGUUCUCAUGAUGCAAGUUAUCAAAUAUAUUUGUUCUACAAUCACUUGCAUCUACAUAAACAACAAACCACGUGUCUUUUUACCUGGUAUAAUUACUCUCUGUUUUCUUUUGCAUAUACGCAAAACAAUUUAAACAACCACAUCAACAUUCGGAAGUUAGAUCUAAAAUUAUUGAAUGGAAAGAAAAACUUACAAAGUAAUUGGCAAGAUAAGUGAUGGUAGGUUUGGAGAAAUCUAUAAAGUAAGUUCGCCGGCUACAGAUGAAAUACUUGUUCUAAAACUUUUGAAAUUCAGGGGAAAUUUAAAUGAACAAACGUAUAUUAAAAACGAAAUAGCUAGUUUAUAUUCUUUGAGACAUGAGAACAUUAUAUCUUUUCGAGAAGUUCUAGUGAAAAGUGAAGAAGUAAAUAUUAUAAUGGAAUAUGCGGACGGGGGAAAUCUUGAAGAUUUUAUUUCUGAACAUAAAACUUUAUGUAAUACAUUGGUUGUUGAUAUUUUCAUUCAAAUCUUAAAAGCAGUAGAUUUUUGUCAUCAGAAUUACAUUGCACAUAGAGACAUUACCCCCAGUAA
RNAcentral lists this long non-coding RNA (27795 nucleotides) under Mytilus galloprovincialis (Mediterranean mussel). Lineage: Eukaryota; Metazoa; Mollusca; Bivalvia; Mytilida; Mytilidae. The record is from RNAcentral.